GGCGGACGGGUGAGUAACGCGUGGGAACGUGCCCUUCUCUGCGGAAUAGCCACUGGAAACGGUGAGUAAUACCGCAUACGCCCUUCGGGGGAAAGAUUUAUCGGAGAAGGAUCGGCCCGCGUUAGAUUAGGUAGUUGGUGGGGUAAUGGCCUACCAAGCCUACGAUCUAUAGCUGGUUUGAGAGGAUGAUCAGCCACACUGGGACUGAGACACGGCCCAGACUCCUACGGGAGGCAGCAGUGGGGAAUCUUAGACAAUGGGCGCAAGCCUGAUCUAGCCAUGCCGCGUGAGUGAUGAAGGCCUUAGGGUCGUAAAGCUCUUUCGCUGGGGAAGAUAAUGACUGUACCCAGUAAAGAAACCCCGGCUAACUCCGUGCCAGCAGCCGCGGUAAUACGGAGGGGGUUAGCGUUGUUCGGAAUUACUGGGCGUAAAGCGCGCGUAGGCGGAUCAGAAAGUUGGGGGUGAAAUCCCGGGGCUCAACCUCGGAACUGCCUCCAAAACUCCUGGUCUUGAGUUCGAGAGAGGUGAGUGGAAUUCCGAGUGUAGAGGUGAAAUUCGUAGAUAUUCGGAGGAACACCAGUGGCGAAGGCGGCUCACUG
Molecule: ribosomal RNA, 599 nt
Filed under: Salipiger thiooxidans
Lineage: Bacteria; Pseudomonadati; Pseudomonadota; Alphaproteobacteria; Rhodobacterales; Roseobacteraceae
Description: bacterial SSU rRNA
Rfam family: Bacterial small subunit ribosomal RNA
Source: RNAcentral